This 520-nucleotide unclassified non-coding RNA is filed under the name uncultured Archaeospora. RNAcentral's name for it is "SSU rRNA". It matches the Rfam family "Eukaryotic small subunit ribosomal RNA", at positions 569 to 1090 of the family's 1831-position model. The record is from RNAcentral. Lineage: Eukaryota; Fungi; Glomeromycota; Glomeromycetes; Archaeosporales; Archaeosporaceae.
AGCAGCCGCGGUAAUUCCAGCUCCAAUAGCGUAUAUUAAAGUUGUUGCAGUUAAAAAGCUCGUAGUUGAAUUUCGGGGUUAGUAGGUUGGUCAUGCCUCUGGUAUGUACUGGUCUCACUGAUUCCUCCUUCCUGAUGAACCUUAAUGCCAUUAAUUUGGUGUUUUGGGGAAUUUGGACUGUUACUUUGAAAAAAUUAGAGUGUUUAAAGCAAGCUAACGCUUGAAUACAUUAGCAUGGAAUAAUGAAAUAGGACGUUCGAUCCUAUUUUGUUGGUUUCUAGGAUUGACGUAAUGAUUAAUAGGGAUAGUUGGGGGCAUUAGUAUUCAAUUGUCAGAGGUGAAAUUCUUGGAUUUAUUGAAGACUAACUACUGCGAAAGCAUUUGCCAAGGAUGUUUUCAUUAAUCAAGAACGAAAGUUAGGGGAUCGAAGACGAUCAGAUACCGUCGUAGUCUUAACCAUAAACUAUGCCGACUAGGGAUCGGAUGAUGUUAAUUUUUUAAUGACUCGUUCGGCGCCUUA